UGAUCCUGGCUCAGAUUGAACGCUGGCGGCAUGCCUUACACAUGCAAGUCGAACGGCAGCACGGGGGCAACCCUGGUGGCGAGUGGCGAACGGGUGAGUAAUACAUCGGAACGUGCCCGGAAGUGGGGGAUAACGUAGCGAAAGUUACGCUAAUACCGCAUAUUCUGUGAGCAGGAAAGCAGGGGAUCGCAAGACCUUGCGCUUUCGGAGCGGCCGAUGUCGGAUUAGCUAGUUGGUGAGGUAAAAGCUCACCAAGGCGACGAUCCGUAGCUGGUCUUAGAGGAUGAUCAGCCACACUGGGACUGAGACACGGCCCAGACUCCUACGGGAGGCAGCAGUGGGGAAUUUUGGACAAUGGGGGCAACCCUGAUCCAGCCAUGCCGCGUGAGUGAAGAAGGCCUUCGGGUUGUAAAGCUCUUUCGGACAGAAAGAAAUCGCAUCGGCUAAUACUCGAUGUGGAUGACGGUACUGUCAUAAGAAGCACCGGCUAACUACGUGCCAGCAGCCGCGGUAAUACGUAGGGUGCGAGCGUUAAUCGGAAUUACUGGGCAUAAAGCGUGCGCAGGCGGUUUUGAAAGACAGGCGUGAAAUCCCCGGGCUCAACCUGGGAACUGCGCUUGUGACUUCAAGACUAGAGUACGGCAGAGGGGGGUAGAAUUCCACGUGUAGCAGUGAAAUGCGUAGAGAUGUGGAGGAAUACCGAUGGCGAAGGCAGCCCCCUGGGCCAGUACUGACGCUCAUGCACGAAAGCGUG
Molecule: ribosomal RNA, 754 nt
Filed under: uncultured beta proteobacterium
Lineage: Bacteria; Pseudomonadati; Pseudomonadota; Betaproteobacteria
Description: bacterial SSU rRNA
Rfam family: Bacterial small subunit ribosomal RNA
Source: RNAcentral